RNAcentral lists this ribosomal RNA (460 nucleotides) under uncultured bacterium. RNAcentral describes it as "partial 16S ribosomal RNA". It matches the Rfam family "Bacterial small subunit ribosomal RNA", at positions 338 to 795 of the family's 1533-position model. The record is from RNAcentral.
CCUACGGGUGGCAGCAGUGAGGAAUAUUGGUCAAUGGACGAGAGUCUGAACCAGCCAAGUAGCGUGAAGGAUGACUGCCCUCUGGGUUGUAAACUUCUUUUAUAAAGGAAUAAAACGAGGCACGUGUGCCUUUUUGCAUUUACUUUAUGAAUAAGGAUCGGCUAACUCCGUGCCAGCAGCCGCGGUAAUACGGAGGAUCCGAGCGUUAUCCGGAUUUAUUGGGGUUAAAGGGAGCGUAGAUGGGUUGUUAAGUCAGUUGUGAAAGUUUGCGGCUCAACCGUAAAAUUGCAAUUGAUACUGGCAGUCUUGAGUACAGUAGAGGGAGGCGGAAUUCGAGGUGUAGCGGUGAAAUGCGUAGAUAUCACGAAGAACCCCGAAUGCGAAGGCAGCUUACUAAGCUGUGACUGACAUUGAUGCGCGAAAGUGUGGGUAGCAAACAGGAGUAGAUACCCUUGUAGUC